This 311-nucleotide long non-coding RNA is filed under the name Elaeis guineensis (African oil palm). RNAcentral's name for it is "long non-coding RNA (EGUI_LNC021183)". The record is from RNAcentral. Lineage: Eukaryota; Viridiplantae; Streptophyta; Magnoliopsida; Arecales; Arecaceae.
CGUUCCCAAGUAGUCGUAAUGCCGCGUGGUGUCUGGGCCUCACGAUCGGCUGUCAGAGACCGGGUUCCGGUUGUAUCUUUCGCGCGAAAGAAUGAUUGAUAUCCUGUCGCGGCAUCAACCAUUGGAUUGCGCCUCGCACGACUCUCAAAGCACCCCUAGUCUCUCCUUCCACUGUUGCACGCCCGGCAAAGCAGCUAAUUGCACCGUCCGGCGGUUGAUAUUGCAAAAAAAAACUAAUCAUUCUUUUGUCCGAAAGAUACAAUUUGAACAUGUUAGGGCCAGAACUUGUCUUCAUUUUGGAUAAGAGUGGA